This 253-nucleotide ribosomal RNA is filed under the name uncultured bacterium. RNAcentral describes it as "partial 16S ribosomal RNA". It matches the Rfam family "Bacterial small subunit ribosomal RNA", at positions 524 to 776 of the family's 1533-position model. The record is from RNAcentral.
UACGGAGGGGGCUAGCGUUGUUCGGAAUUACUGGGCGUACAGCGAACGUAGGCGGCUGGGUAAGUCCGGGGUGAAAUCCCGGGGCUCAACCCCGGAACUGCGUAGGGAACUGGACAGCUAGAAGAUUGGAGAGGCGAGUGGAAUUCCCAGUGUAGCGGUGAAAUGCGUAGAUAUUGGGAGGAACGCCGGUGGCGAAGGCGGCUCGCUGGACCAGUUCUGACGCUGAGGCGCGAAAGCGUGGGGAGCAAACAGG